RNAcentral lists this ribosomal RNA (253 nucleotides) under uncultured bacterium. Its description in RNAcentral is "partial 16S ribosomal RNA". It matches the Rfam family "Bacterial small subunit ribosomal RNA", at positions 524 to 776 of the family's 1533-position model. The record is from RNAcentral.
UACGGGGGGGGCAAGCGUUGUUCGGAAUUACUGGGCGUAAAGGGCUCGUAGGUGGCCAACUAAGUCAGACGUGAAAUCCCUCGGCUUAACCGGGGAACUGCGUCUGAUACUGGUUGGCUUGAGUUUGGGAGAGGGAUGCGGAAUUCCAGGUGUAGCGGUGAAAUGCGUAGAUAUCUGGAGGAACACCGGUGGCGAAGGCGGCGUUCUGGACUGCAACUGACACUGAGGAACGAAAGCCAGGGGAGCAAACGGG